RNAcentral lists this ribosomal RNA (254 nucleotides) under uncultured bacterium. RNAcentral describes it as "partial 16S ribosomal RNA". It matches the Rfam family "Bacterial small subunit ribosomal RNA", at positions 524 to 776 of the family's 1533-position model. The record is from RNAcentral.
GACAGAGGUGCCAAGCGUUAGGCGGAAUCACUGGGCUUAAAGCGUGUGUAGGCGGAUGCCUAAGUACCUUGUGAAAUCCCACGGCUCAACCGUGGAACUGCUUGGUAUACUGGGUGUCUUGAGCCAUCUAGGGGCUACCGGAACAAAUGGUGGAGCGGUGAAAUGCGUAGAUAUCAUUUGGAACGCCAAUGGUGAAAAACAGGUAGCUGGGGAUGUGCUGACGCUGAGACACGAAAGCCAGGGGAGCAAACGGG